UGACCUCAAAUCAGGUAGGGCUACCCGCUGAACUUAAGCAUAUCAAUAAGCGGAGGAAAAGAAACUAACAAGGAUUCCCCUAGUAACGGCGAGUGAACCGGGAAGAGCUCAAAUUUGAAAUCUGGCGUCCUCAGGGCGUCCGAGUUGUAAUCUAUAGAAGCGUUUUCCGCGCCGGACCGUGUAUAAGUCUCCUGGAACGGAGUAUCAAAGAGGGUGACAAUCCCGUGCUUUACACGACGACCGGUGCUCUGUGAUACGUUCUCUACGAGUCGAGUUGUUUGGGAAUGCAGCUCAAAACGGGUGGUAAACUCCAUCUAAAGCUAAAUAUUGGUGGGAGACCGAUAGCGAACAAGUACCGUGAGGGAAAGAUGAAAAGCACUUUGGAAAGAGAGUUAAACAGUAUGUGAAAUUGUUGAAAGGGAAACGAUUGAAGUCAGUCGUGUCCAUUGGGUUCAGCCGGUCCUGCCGGUCUACUCCCUUUGGACGGGUCAACAUCAGUUCUGACCGGUGGAUAAUGGCACGAGGAACGUGGCACCCCCAGGGGUGUGUUAUAGCCUCGCGUCGCAUACACUGGUUGGGACUGAGGAACGCAGCUCGCCUUCAUGGCCGGGGUACGCCCACGUACGAGCUUAGGAUGUUGACAUAAUGGCUUUAAACGACCCGUCUUGAAACACGGACCAAGGAGUCUAACAUAUCUGCGAGUGUUU
Molecule: ribosomal RNA, 707 nt
Filed under: Kwoniella bestiolae
Lineage: Eukaryota; Fungi; Basidiomycota; Tremellomycetes; Tremellales; Cryptococcaceae
Description: LSU rRNA
Rfam family: Eukaryotic large subunit ribosomal RNA
Source: RNAcentral